This 74-nucleotide transfer RNA is filed under the name Ictidomys tridecemlineatus (thirteen-lined ground squirrel). RNAcentral's name for it is "Spermophilus tridecemlineatus (thirteen-lined ground squirrel) tRNA". It matches the Rfam family "tRNA". Rfam says of the family: Transfer RNA (tRNA) molecules are approximately 80 nucleotides in length. Their secondary structure includes four short double-helical elements and three loops (D, anti-codon, and T loops). Lineage: Eukaryota; Metazoa; Chordata; Mammalia; Rodentia; Sciuridae. The record is from Rfam by way of RNAcentral.
UGGAUUGUAGCUCAGCGGUAGAGCACUUGCCUAGCACAUGCGAGAGGCCCUGGGUUCAAUCCUCAGCACCACAU